RNAcentral lists this ribosomal RNA (743 nucleotides) under Escherichia coli. Its description in RNAcentral is "partial 23S ribosomal RNA". It matches the Rfam family "Bacterial large subunit ribosomal RNA", at positions 2056 to 2798 of the family's 2925-position model. Lineage: Bacteria; Pseudomonadati; Pseudomonadota; Gammaproteobacteria; Enterobacterales; Enterobacteriaceae. The record is from RNAcentral.
AAGAUGCAGUGUACCCGCGGCAAGACGGAAAGACCCCGUGAACCUUUACUAUAGCUUGACACUGAACAUUGAGCCUUGAUGUGUAGGAUAGGUGGGAGGCUUAGAAGUGUGGACGCCAGUCUGCAUGGAGCCGACCUUGAAAUACCACCCUUUAAUGUUUGAUGUUCUAACGUUGACCCGUAAUCCGGGUUGCGGACAGUGUCUGGUGGGUAGUUUGACUGGGGCGGUCUCCUCCUAAAGAGUAACGGAGGAGCACGAAGGUUGGCUAAUCCUGGUCGGACAUCAGGAGGUUAGUGCAAUGGCAUAAGCCAGCUUGACUGCGAGCGUGACGGCGCGAGCAGGUGCGAAAGCAGGUCAUAGUGAUCCGGUGGUUCUGAAUGGAAGGGCCAUCGCUCAACGGAUAAAAGGUACUCCGGGGAUAACAGGCUGAUACCGCCCAAGAGUUCAUAUCGACGGCGGUGUUUGGCACCUCGAUGUCGGCUCAUCACAUCCUGGGGCUGAAGUAGGUCCCAAGGGUAUGGCUGUUCGCCAUUUAAAGUGGUACGCGAGCUGGGUUUAGAACGUCGUGAGACAGUUCGGUCCCUAUCUGCCGUGGGCGCUGGAGAACUGAGGGGGGCUGCUCCUAGUACGAGAGGACCGGAGUGGACGCAUCACUGGUGUUCGGGUUGUCAUGCCAAUGGCACUGCCCGGUAGCUAAAUGCGGAAGAGAUAAGUGCUGAAAGCAUCUAAGCACGAAACUUGCC